Molecule: ribosomal RNA, 253 nt
Filed under: uncultured bacterium
Lineage: Bacteria
Description: partial 16S ribosomal RNA
Rfam family: Bacterial small subunit ribosomal RNA
Source: RNAcentral
UACGAAGGGGGCUAGCGUUGCUCGGAAUCACUGGGCGUAAAGCGCACAUAGGCGGAUCUUUAAGUCAGGGGUGAAAUCCUGGAGCUCAACUCCAGAACUGCCUUUGAUACUGGGGAUCUCGAGUCCGGAAGAGGUGAGUGGAACUCCGAGUGUAGAGGUGAAAUUCGUAGAUAUUCGGAAGAACACCAGUGGCGAAGGCGGCUCACUGGUCCGGUACUGACGCUGAGGUGCGAAAGCGUGGGGAGCAAACAGG